Molecule: unclassified non-coding RNA, 151 nt
Filed under: uncultured Ascomycota
Lineage: Eukaryota; Fungi; Ascomycota
Description: sequence contains ITS2
Source: RNAcentral
GUACCCUCAAGCUCUGCUUGGUGUUGGGUGUUUGUCCCGCCUUCGUGCGUGGACUCGCCUUAAAGUGAUUGGCAGCCGGAAUAAUUCUGGGGAACGCAGCACAACUGCAGCCUCCAUUUUACGCCGAGCGUCCAGCAAGCCUUUUUUCAAC